GAAGGGGGCUAGCGUUGCUCGGAAUUACUGGGCGUAAAGGGAGCGUAGGCGGAUAGUUUAGUCAGAGGUGAAAGCCCAGGGCUCAACCUUGGAAUUGCCUUUGAUACUGGCUAUCUUGAGUACGGAAGAGGUAUGUGGAACUCCGAGUGUAGAGGUGAAAUUCGUAGAUAUUCGGAAGAACACCAGUGGCGAAGGCGACAUACUGGUCCGUUACUGACGCUGAGGCUCGAAAGCGUGGGGAGCAAACGGGAUUAGAUACCCUGGUAGUCCACGCUGUAAACGAUGAGUGCUAGUUGUCGGCAGGCAUGCCUGUCGGUGACGCAGCUAACGCAUUAAGCACUCCGCCUGGGGAGUACGGUCGCAAGAUUA
Molecule: ribosomal RNA, 369 nt
Filed under: uncultured bacterium
Lineage: Bacteria
Description: bacterial SSU rRNA
Rfam family: Bacterial small subunit ribosomal RNA
Source: RNAcentral